GCGGGCAUCGUAUAGUGGCAGUACGUGACCUUCCCAAGGUCAAAGUGCGGGUCCGAUUCCCGCUGCCCGCUCCA
RNAcentral lists this transfer RNA (74 nucleotides) under bacterium. RNAcentral describes it as "tRNA-Gly". It matches the Rfam family "tRNA". Rfam says of the family: Transfer RNA (tRNA) molecules are approximately 80 nucleotides in length. Their secondary structure includes four short double-helical elements and three loops (D, anti-codon, and T loops). The record is from RNAcentral.